This is a long non-coding RNA of Symphalangus syndactylus (siamang), 1589 nucleotides long. RefSeq lists it as uncharacterized. The record is from RefSeq and is a predicted model, not a curated record. Lineage: Eukaryota; Metazoa; Chordata; Mammalia; Primates; Hylobatidae.
UCUGAGUGUGCUCUGAGUAAAACACAAAUAAUACUAAUCAAUAAUAAUAAUCCUCACAAUCUCCAAUUUCUCCUUUUCUCUGUAUACAAUGUCUAGUGUCACCAGAAACAGCCAGCUGACCUCACAAUCUUUAUCUCACUUUUGUUGUCAAAGCAACCAGGACUGUUGCCCUUCGAUCCCAUCCCUAGUCCCUCCACCUGCACUUCCUCUCAUGCCACCGCUGAGGACAAUUCGAUGAACUGAUGCUACUGUGUGGAACAGCUUACCAGGGCCUCAUCUCCUGCAAAGUUAUUUGUAUACUUCUCCACUAUAAGAGCAACCCAAUGCCAGAAGUCUUUUUAGAGAACAAGAAUAUUCCUCUAAUGGUGAUGCCCUGAAGCUCACUGUUUCCCUCAUCAUGAAUUAUUGAAGUCAUGUGGCCUAAAAAAGUGCACACCGGCCCCUAGGAAGUGCACCUGGCGUGUGUCGAUCUGCACUAAAUGUACUGGAAUGAAUGAGUGAAAGGAGGCUGCCUAUGCCCACCUAUUUCAAACAAUUAUAAUGGGGAAGCUUACAGGGAAGAAGUCCUCUUGGAAUGUGGAAAAGAAAUGAGUUUGAGCAUACUAAAUCCAAGUAACGCAACGCUGAUCUCUCUGAGCCACAAGUCAACACAAUAACAAAAGCCCCAAUAAUGUCAGACUUGCUGUCAGGAGACGGGCACAGUGACACGCUGUGCCUGCAUGAGAUGGAUGGGUGGUCUGGAGGAUGUGAUCCUCCUAUAAAAACCAGGGUAUAUAGACACACAUGCUUAUAAAAACUUCUCGGAGGAGGCCUUCCAAGGAAUCUCUGUGCUGCCACCUCCAAUUCCUCCAACUGCAACGGAAGAGCUCUCUAACUUCCCAAACUUUCACGAAGAAAUAGCAAGUACUGGGCUUCCCUGACUUGAGACUCACUUGACCAACCAAAUCAAUCACCAUCCGAGGGCAGCCUCCCCAGCCAAAUGCUGCAUUUCCUUCUAGUCAUUGGCAUGUGGAUGGCCCCACUUCAUAGAUUCUCCAACAUGAAAUUCCGUCAAUUGAAAUGUCAUCAAAAGACAGAAUUUCAGAGUCGAGCUGAGCCCAGUGAGUGGGUUACCAAGGUCAAUGACAAAAUCGUUCACUGCAGCCCAAAUUUACCUGAGAGUUCUUGCAAAGUUCUCACUUAGGUUGACAAUGUGUAGAUCUGCAGAGUUAGGCCAAAGUUAACCUAGGCUUGUGGUAGUAAAAAAUACUAGAGAAAGUCCAAGGACACAGUCUUUCCAACCUGGUCUCCUGAGUCUAAAUGACACGCUGGUGUCAGAAAUGCUUUGGGGAAUUGGUAAAAGGCUAGAUUUCUCUACCUGGACUCUUUCUUCUUCUACACUCUUAUACUAACUGAAUCAAUCCACAUAUUAAAAAUGUAAUAAGUGCCCUAUUUAUGGAUAAUUUUACAGCUAAAACAUAGAAAUAGCAUGGUCAGACUAUUUUAAGAAAGAGCCAAAACACAUAGUAAAUUAAAAUUGAUUUGCAUGAAAUGUUGCAGACAUCCAGAUGAUAUUAAAAAAAGGAAGCAAACUUUGUUUGAACUCUGUA